AUUGUAUUCCCUCUGAUAUAUAUUACUUGUCUUUGAUUUGUCUAAAUACUGAUGUAUCUUGACAUGUUUUAGUGUUAGAUUCAUAUCUAGAAAAAUCUAAGACAAGUAAUAUAGAUCAGGGGGAAUACAUU
Non-coding RNA from Hordeum vulgare subsp. vulgare (domesticated barley), 131 nucleotides. Lineage: Eukaryota; Viridiplantae; Streptophyta; Magnoliopsida; Poales; Poaceae. The record is from Rfam.